AACUUUUAACAAUGGAUCUCUUGGUUCUCGCAUCGAUGAAGAACGCAGCGAAACGCGAUAUGUUUUGUGAAUUGCAGAAGUGAAUCAUCAAUUUUUGAACGCACAUUGCGCCUGGUGGUAUUCCGCCAGGCAUGUCUGUUUGAGCGUUGUUUC
This 153-nucleotide ribosomal RNA is filed under the name Geotrichum cucujoidarum. RNAcentral describes it as "Dipodascus cucujoidarus 5.8S ribosomal RNA". It matches the Rfam family "5.8S ribosomal RNA". Rfam says of the family: 5.8S ribosomal RNA (5.8S rRNA) is a component of the large subunit of the eukaryotic ribosome. It is transcribed by RNA polymerase I as part of the 45S precursor that also contains 18S and 28S rRNA. Lineage: Eukaryota; Fungi; Ascomycota; Dipodascomycetes; Dipodascales; Dipodascaceae. The record is from RNAcentral.